UACGAAGGGGGGCUAGCGUUGUUCGGAUUUACUGGGCGUAAAGCGCACGUAGGCGGAUUGUUAAGUCAGGGGUGAAAUCCUGGAGCUCAACUCCAGAACUGCCUUUGAUACUGGCGAUCUCGAGUCCGGGAGAGGUGAGUGGAACUGCGAGUGUAGAGGUGAAAUUCGUAGAUAUUCGCAAGAACACCAGUGGCGAAGGCGGCUCACUGGCCCGGUACUGACGCUGAGGUGCGAAAGCGUGGGGAGCAAACAGG
RNAcentral lists this ribosomal RNA (254 nucleotides) under uncultured bacterium. Its description in RNAcentral is "partial 16S ribosomal RNA". It matches the Rfam family "Bacterial small subunit ribosomal RNA", at positions 524 to 776 of the family's 1533-position model. The record is from RNAcentral.